RNAcentral lists this ribosomal RNA (253 nucleotides) under uncultured bacterium. RNAcentral describes it as "partial 16S ribosomal RNA". It matches the Rfam family "Bacterial small subunit ribosomal RNA", at positions 524 to 776 of the family's 1533-position model. The record is from RNAcentral.
UACGGGGGGGGCAAGCGUUGUUCGGAAUUACUGGGCGUAAAGGGCUCGUAGGCGGCCAACUAAGUCAGACGUGAAAUCCCUCGGCUUAACCGGGGAACUGCAUCUGAUACUGGAUGGCUUGAGUUUGGGAGAGGGAUGCGGAAUUCCAGGUGUAGCGGUGAAAUGCGUAGAUAUCUGGAGGAACACCGGUGGCGAAGGCGGUUGCCUGGAGCUUUGCUGACGCUGAUGCGCGAAAGCGUGGGGAGCGAUCCGG